This 1686-nucleotide ribosomal RNA is filed under the name Escherichia coli. Its description in RNAcentral is "partial 23S ribosomal RNA". It matches the Rfam family "Bacterial large subunit ribosomal RNA", at positions 159 to 1869 of the family's 2925-position model. The record is from RNAcentral. Lineage: Bacteria; Pseudomonadati; Pseudomonadota; Gammaproteobacteria; Enterobacterales; Enterobacteriaceae.
UGAAUCCAUAGGUUAAUGAGGCGAACCGGGGGAACUGAAACAUCUAAGUACCCCGAGGAAAAGAAAUCAACCGAGAUUCCCCCAGUAGCGGCGAGCGAACGGGGAGCAGCCCAGAGCCUGAAUCAGUGUGUGUGUUAGUGGAAGCGUCUGGAAAGGCGCGUGAUACAGGGUGACAGCCCCGUACACAAAAAUGCACAUGCUGUGAGCUCGAUGAGUAGGGCGGGACACGUGGUAUCCUGUCUGAAUAUGGGGGGACCAUCCUCCAAGGCUAAAUACUCCUGACUGACCGAUAGUGAACCAGUACCGUGAGGGAAAGGCGAAAAGAACCCCGGCGAGGGGAGUGAAAAAGAACCUGAAACCGUGUACGUACAAGCAGUGGGAGCACGCUUAGGCGUGUGACUGCGUACCUUUUGUAUAAUGGGUCAGCGACUUAUAUUCUGUAGCAAGGUUAACCGAAUAGGGGAGCCGAAGGGAAACCGAGUCUUAACUGGGCGUUAAGUUGCAGGGUAUAGACCCGAAACCCGGUGAUCUAGCCAUGGGCAGGUUGAAGGUUGGGUAACACUAACUGGAGGACCGAACCGACUAAUGUUGAAAAAUUAGCGGAUGACUUGUGGCUGGGGGUGAAAGGCCAAUCAAACCGGGAGAUAGCUGGUUCUCCCCGAAAGCUAUUUAGGUAGCGCCUCGUGAAUUCAUCUCCGGGGGUAGAGCACUGUUUCGGCAAGGGGGUCAUCCCGACUUACCAACCCGAUGCAAACUGCGAAUACCGGAGAAUGUUAUCACGGGAGACACACGGCGGGUGCUAACGUCCGUCGUGAAGAGGGAAACAACCCAGACCGCCAGCUAAGGUCCCAAAGUCAUGGUUAAGUGGGAAACGAUGUGGGAAGGCCCAGACAGCCAGGAUGUUGGCUUAGAAGCAGCCAUCAUUUAAAGAAAGCGUAAUAGCUCACUGGUCGAGUCGGCCUGCGCGGAAGAUGUAACGGGGCUAAACCAUGCACCGAAGCUGCGGCAGCGACGCUUAUGCGUUGUUGGGUAGGGGAGCGUUCUGUAAGCCUGUGAAGGUGUACUGUGAGGUAUGCUGGAGGUAUCAGAAGUGCGAAUGCUGACAUAAGUAACGAUAAAGCGGGUGAAAAGCCCGCUCGCCGGAAGACCAAGGGUUCCUGUCCAACGUUAAUCGGGGCAGGGUGAGUCGACCCCUAAGGCGAGGCCGAAAGGCGUAGUCGAUGGGAAACAGGUUAAUAUUCCUGUACUUGGUGUUACUGCGAAGGGGGGACGGAGAAGGCUAUGUUGGCCGGGCGACGGUUGUCCCGGUUUAAGCGUGUAGGCUGGUUUUCCAGGCAAAUCCGGAAAAUCAAGGCUGAGGCGUGAUGACGAGGCACUACGGUGCUGAAGCAACAAAUGCCCUGCUUCCAGGAAAAGCCUCUAAGCAUCAGGUAACAUCAAAUCGUACCCCAAACCGACACAGGUGGUCAGGUAGAGAAUACCAAGGCGCUUGAGAGAACUCGGGUGAAGGAACUAGGCAAAAUGGUGCCGUAACUUCGGGAGAAGGCACGCUGAUAUGUAGGUGAAGUCCCUCGCGGAUGGAGCUGAAAUCAGUCGAAGAUACCAGCUGGCUGCAACUGUUUAUUAAAAACACAGCACUGUGCAAACACGAAAGUGGACGUAUACGGUGUGACGCCUGCCCGGUGC